AUGAGGCCCCGGAAACAACAGAUGCCGGAAGCGGUCACCACCUCUAGGACUGGCGGGCUGAUGGUGGAGGGACCGGGUCAACAGAAGGCAGGGAGCGCUGGGGCGGGGAGGGGGCUGCGGCCACCCAUGAGACGGCCUGGUCCCUUCCAUCUCCUGCUGGUGUCUCCCCUUAGCAGAAAAUUCAGGAAGCCCCGGGACAGAGGGGCCUCGGUGAGGCUGCCCUGUAGAUGCCCCCAACCACACGGCAGAGGAGGGCAGAAGACGAAGGGGCGGGGGACACAGAGAAAGGAAGCAACAGAGACCAGAUCAGUUUCCAGACUGGCUGUGUUUACAUCGUCGUGGGACAUCAGGCCCCUGGUUGCCUCUGUGGACACGAGUCUGCUAAAGAUUCCUGAUUUUCCCAGGGCACCUGGAAGAUCAGAAACCUGAUGAGUUUUGAUAAGAGUGUCUCUCCAGUGGAGGAUGGUUCUACAAAACGGCAGGUCAGGACAAGACCCAUUCGGAAACAUGCUCGAGUCCUAAGUACAGGUGUGGCGAAA
This 539-nucleotide long non-coding RNA is filed under the name Bos indicus x Bos taurus (hybrid cattle). RNAcentral's name for it is "lncRNA (ENSBIXG00000008087.1)". The record is from RNAcentral. Lineage: Eukaryota; Metazoa; Chordata; Mammalia; Artiodactyla; Bovidae.